UACGAAGGGUGCAAGCGUUACUCGGAAUUACUGGGCGUAAAGCGUGCGUAGGUGGUUCGUUAAGUCUGAUGUGAAAGCCCUGGGCUCAACCUGGGAAUGGCAUUGGAUACUGGCGGACUGGAGUGCGGUAGAGGAUGGCGGAAUUCCCGGUGUAGCAGUGAAAUGCGUAGAGAUCGGUAGGAACAUCUGUGGCGAAGGCGGCCAUCUGGACCAGCACUGACACUGAGGCACGAAAGCGUGGGGAGCAAACAGG
RNAcentral lists this ribosomal RNA (253 nucleotides) under uncultured bacterium. Its description in RNAcentral is "partial 16S ribosomal RNA". It matches the Rfam family "Bacterial small subunit ribosomal RNA", at positions 524 to 776 of the family's 1533-position model. The record is from RNAcentral.